This 253-nucleotide ribosomal RNA is filed under the name uncultured bacterium. RNAcentral describes it as "partial 16S ribosomal RNA". It matches the Rfam family "Bacterial small subunit ribosomal RNA", at positions 524 to 776 of the family's 1533-position model. The record is from RNAcentral.
UACGUAGGUGGCAAGCGUUGUCCGGAUUUACUGGGCGUAAAGAGCGCGCAGGCGGUCGUUCAAGUCGCGUGUGAAAGCCCCCGGCUCAACUGGGGAGGGUCACGCGAUACUGAUCGACUCGAAGGCAGGAGAGGGAAGUGGAAUUCCCGGUGUAGUGGUGAAAUGCGUAGAUAUCGGGAGGAACACCAGAGGCGAAGGCGACUUCCUGGCCUGUUCUUGACGCUGAGGCGCGAAAGCUAGGGGAGCAAACGGG